UAUAUGUGUUUUUAAUAAGUAUAUCGUCUAUAGACAGCUUCUUAUAUAACACAACUGUGUCUCAGGUACAGAGAUUGGGAACAUUUAUGAUUUCUAAUAUCUGUUUUUUAUUUGUAGUAAUCCCUUUUUCAAUAGACAGACCGCAGAUUUAAGACAUAACUGUACUGUAAAAAAACAUAUCUAUAAGUUAAUGUAAUAAAUCACAUACUAUAACUGAUUAUUGCCAUUUAAAACUAUGAAAAAUACAUUAUGUUGAUUAUAAAACAGAAAUACAGAAUGGAGAAAACCGUCUGUGGCUCAAGCUCGACUGCCCCUUUCUUUGAGUGGCCCCUCAAUGUUGUGGAAACGGGUGGAGGACAUUGUCUCCAUUAGAAUGGGUCCCCCUACGAUGCUUCGCCUGUUGAUCUGAAGUGCAUUCUGUGCUUUGGAACCUCGGGGGCAAACUGUAUUUCUGUUAUUAAUUUUUAGUUUAGCAAUUCCCACUGCAAUAUGGUUAACCUCUAUCCUAAAUUUCUGCCCAAAAUUGAUAAAAGACAUUCCAAGAAAUAUUUUGCCAAAUAAAAAUAUAUAAAAUAUUGAUGAAAUUGAUGAAUAAUAAUAACAACAAAAAUAACAGUUUUUGAUUAAAAAACAAAAAAACAAAAAUAAUUUAUAAAAUAUUUUGCUCCUGCCCCCUUCCCCCAAAAAUAAAAAAAACAUAUAUUACCCUUAAAAUUUAUGAAUAAAGAAACAAAAAAUAACACAUACCCCAAACAUUACAAACACAAAACCCCCCAAAACCUAACAAUAGUCUCUGUCAACAUCAUCCUGAGAGGGAUAAUACACUGCACUGCAAUAGAAAUAAAAAUCCCUAUCAUCUAUAUCUCAAUGGGUUCCAUCUUUUCUUUUGUUCUUUUUUCUAAUGCGGUUUUAUAAUCCCUGAGACAAGUAGUUCUGGCCCUAGAGUGUUAUAUAUAUUAGCGUCUGUAGCAUGUAUAAGGGACAUGUUAUCAUACCUGUGUCUUUUUAUAGGUGAUUAAUGCCCGGUGAGAGGGUGAAAGGGACCUAUACCCCCGUCAGCUGCAGGAAAGGAACAAAGAGACAGGUGAUUAAUGCCCGGUGAGAGGGUGAAAGGGACCUAUACCCCCGUCAGAUGCAGGAAAGGAACAAAGAGACAGGUGAUUAAUGCCCGGUGAGAGGGUGAAAGGGACCUAUAACCCCGUCAGCUGCAGGAAAGGAAUAAAGAGACAGGUGAUUGAUGCCCGGUGAGAGGGUGAAAGGGACCUAUACCCCCGUCAGCUGCAGGAAAGGAACAAAGAGACAGGUGAUUAAUGCCCGGUGAGAGGGUGAAAGGGACCUAUAACCCCGUCAGCUGCAGGAAAGGAAUAAAGAGACAGGUGAUUGAUGCCCGGUGAGAGGGUGAAAGGGACCUAUACCCCCGUCAGCUGCAGGAAAGGAACAAAGAGACAGGUGAUUAAUGCCCGGUGAGAGGGUGAAAGGGACCUAUAACCCCGUCAGCUGCAGGAAAGGAAUAAAGAGACAGGUGAUUAAUGCCCGGUGAGAGGGUGAAAGGGACCUAUACCCCCGUCAGCUGCAGGAAAGGAACAAAGAGACAGGUAAUUAAUAUUUAUAUUAAUUACUGAUAACAAUCAGGCUAGAUAUAACAUCUAGACUUGCAGAGAUGUCAUAGUCUCUACCUUAUACAUGAAGAUAUAUGUGUUUUUAAUAAGUAUAUCGUCUAUAGACAGCUUCUUAUAUAACACAACCAUGUCUCAGGUACAGAGAUUAGGAACAUUUAUGAUUUCUAAUAUCUGUUUUUUAUUUGUAGUAAUCCCUUUUUCAAUAGAUUGACCGCAGAUUUAAGACAUAACUGUACUGUAAAGAAAAAUCUAUAAGUUAAUGUAAUAAAUCACAUACUAUAACUGAUUGUUGCCAUUUAAAACUAUGAAAAAUACAUUAUGUUGAUUAUAAAACAGAAAUACAGAAUGGAGACAACCGUCUGUGGCUCAAGCUCGACUGCCCAUUUCUUUGAGUGGCCCCUCAAUGUUCUGGAAACGGGUGGAGGACAUUGUCUCCAUUAGAAUGGGUCCCCCUACGAUGCUUCGGCUGUUGAUCUGAAGUGCAUUCUGUGCUUUGGAAUCUCGGGGGCAAACUGUAUUUCUGUUAUUAAUUUUUAGUUUAGCAAUUCCCACCGCAACAUGGUUAACCUCUAUCCUAAAUUUCUGCACAAAAUUGAUAAAAGACAUUCCAAGAAAUAUUUAAAUUUAUGAAUAAAGAAACAAAAAAUAACACAUACCCCAAACAUUACAAACACAAAACCCCCAAAAACCUAACAAUAGUCUCUGUCAACAUCAUCCUGGGAGGGAUAAUACACUGCACUGCAAUAGAAAUAAAAAUCCCUAUCAUCUAUAUCUCAAUGGGUUCCAUCUUUUCUUUUGUUCUUUUUUCUAAUGCGGUUUUAUAAUCCCUGAGACAAGUAGUUCUGGCCCUAGAGUGUUAUAUAUAUUAGCGUCUGUAGCAUGUAUAAGGGACAUGUUAUCAUACCUGUGUCUUUUUAUAGGUGAUUAAUGCCCGGUGAGAGAGUGAAAGGGACCUAUACCCCCGUCAGCUGCAGGAA
Long non-coding RNA from Hyla sarda, 2596 nucleotides. RefSeq lists it as uncharacterized. NCBI's taxonomy places the organism in Eukaryota, Metazoa, Chordata, Amphibia, Anura, Hylidae. The record is from RefSeq and is a predicted model, not a curated record. The transcript is spliced from 8 exons.